Molecule: ribosomal RNA, 408 nt
Filed under: uncultured microorganism
Description: bacterial SSU rRNA
Rfam family: Archaeal small subunit ribosomal RNA
Source: RNAcentral
GUGCAGCAGUCGCGAAACCUCCGCAAUACACGAAAGUGUGACGGGGCCAUCCCGAGUGCCGUCCGCUGAGGACGGCUUUUCCCCAGUGUACACAGCUGGGGGAAUAAGGAGAGGGCAAGCCUGGUGUCAGCCGCCGCGGUAAUACCAGCUCUCCGAGUGGUGGGGACGCUUAUUGGGCCUAAAGCAUCCGUAGCCGGCUGGGCAAGUCCUCCGUUAAAUCCAACGAUUCAAUCGUUGGGCUGCGGGGGAUACUGUCCAGCUUGGGGGCGGGAGAGGCCGACGGUAUUCCCGGGGUAGGGGUGAAAUCCUAUAAUCCCCGGGAGGACCACCAGUGGCGAAGGCUGUCGGCUAGAACGCGCCCGACGGUGAGGGAUGAAAGCUGGGGGAGCGAACCGGAUUAGAUACCCC